GGAUUGGUAGCUCAGUUGGAAGAGUGUCACUGUACUACACCGGAGGCCACAGGUUCAAUCCCUGUCUAGUCCA
Molecule: non-coding RNA, 73 nt
Organism: Paxillus rubicundulus Ve08.2h10
Lineage: Eukaryota; Fungi; Basidiomycota; Agaricomycetes; Boletales; Paxillaceae
Source: Rfam